GUGGUCCUACGGGGCGCAGCAGUGAGGAAUAUUGGUCAAUGGGCGGGAGCCUGAACCAGCCAAGCCGCGUGAAGGAAGAAGGCGCCAGGCGUCGUAAACUUCUUUUGUCGGGGAACAAAGGGCGCCACGCGUGGCGUUGUGAGUGUACCCGAAGAAAAAGCAUCGGCUAACUCCGUGCCAGGAGCCGCGGUAAUACGGAGGAUGCGAGCGUUAUCCGGAUUUAUUGGGUUUAAAGGGUGCGUAGGCGGUCCGGCAAGUCAGCGGGAAAAGCGCGGGGCUCAACCCAGGC
RNAcentral lists this ribosomal RNA (289 nucleotides) under uncultured bacterium. Its description in RNAcentral is "partial 16S ribosomal RNA". It matches the Rfam family "Bacterial small subunit ribosomal RNA", at positions 333 to 619 of the family's 1533-position model. The record is from RNAcentral.